RNAcentral lists this non-coding RNA (28 nucleotides) under Mus musculus (house mouse). Lineage: Eukaryota; Metazoa; Chordata; Mammalia; Rodentia; Muridae. The record is from RNAcentral.
UGCUGUUUGGGGUGUUUCUUACAUGGGU